Molecule: long non-coding RNA, 1849 nt
Organism: Humulus lupulus (European hop)
Lineage: Eukaryota; Viridiplantae; Streptophyta; Magnoliopsida; Rosales; Cannabaceae
Exons: 3
Source: RefSeq, a predicted model, not a curated record
AGCAUUGUUCGCAUUGCUCUAAGUUGUCCGAAUUGUUAAGGAUAUUAUUUUUGCCAAACAAAGUUGGAUAGGCGUUUAUUUCCCCGUCUUUUUGUUUAGUAACUGUUUUCCAAACUUUUAUUGGUGGAAUUGUGUUCUCUUCUAGUUCUCUAUGCAUCUAAAUUAUUUUCUCUGAUUAAGAAUUUGUAUGGAUUGUAACUUUUGAAACACGUGGAUUGUAACAUUCAGGCAGAUAUGCAAGUGAGGGAGAAAAUCUUGGUCUUGCUUGACUCUUGGCAAGAAGCUUUUGGUGGGCCUGGAGGAAAGCAUUCUCAAUAUUAUUGGGCAUAUGAUGAAUUAAGGCGUUCUGGAGUAGAAUUUCCCAAGCGUUCAUUAGACGCUGUCCCUAUUUUCUAUAUGUAGUUUUUAUUACAUGAAAAAUAAUAUUUUUGAAAGGUUAAUAUUCUCCAAAGGUUUGUUGUAAGAGACAUUCUUUGUUGAUGACACUGUGAAGUUGACAUAGAUGUUAUGCAUCAGGGAAUUCCUGAAAAGGCAGAUGUUCCACCAGUUGCCCAAGUUCCUGCUCAGGCAGCAGCAAACUCCCCUGCAAUCAUUCCUCCAGUGCAAGCAUCACAACCUGCUGCUGCACUUGCUAUUGUCCCUAAUGCAAAUCCACUGGAUCUCUUCUCACAGGUAGCUAUUGUUCUACCUCUUAACUUUUGAAUUCUUCCCUCAGAUAGAUGCUCCUUUGAAGUUUGAAUUGUAUUAUAUGAUCAGCUAAUUAAUAAAAUAUAUUACUAUUCUUGAAUCAGGGCCUACCAAAUGUGGGUGCAAAUGCUGGUGCUGGCAAUUUGGAUUUUCUUCGAAACAGUCAAUAGGUACUUGAUUUUUUUCCUUUCUUUUUUUCUCUUAUCCAUAUGGAGCUUUACUCUUUUUUAUUGUUGUAGUCAUGGUUGAUUUUUUUUUCUCUAACUUUCAUUGUAGUUCCAAGCAUUGCGAGCUAUGGUGCAAGCAAACCCUCAAAUUUAGCAGGUUAGGCUUCUCAUAAAGAAACAAAAUGCCAGUUGAUAGCUUGGUCAUUUUGGUGGCAGACGGACACUAAAUAGUACUCAGGCUAGACUUAUUGUUUUGCAGCCUAUGCUUCAAGUGCUAGGGAAACAAAAUCCACAUCUUGUGCAUCUCAUAUAAGAGCCUCAGGCUGACUUUUUGCGCCUGAUAAAUGAACCUGUCAAGGGAGGAGAAGGGUGAGAUGAAUGCAGUUUUUUUUUAUUUUUUUUUUUAUAUAAAUAAGUUUUUAUUAUCUACUUGACACAUGCUAAUUUUUCAUUUUUAUUAUACAAUCAGGAACGUUCUAAGCAUGCAUUUUUCUGUUGAAAUAUGUUUUGGCUUUAAGGUCUGUUAACUAUUUUUUUGCACUUUGGAAUUGGCACAAAUGGGAAUGUUCAAUUUGUUGUGUUUUGAUUAUUUAAAAAUUUGCAAAGAGUUUCUUUUCUUGAUAGGCUUGUUUGAUUUUUCUAUAAAUUUUUUGGUUUACCAUGUUCUUUCUAUUGAUAUAUUUUUUUUCUUUAUGCUCUAGGCGGUGUGUUUUGCUUUAAUGGGCAUUGGCAGCUCAUUUCAUGCUCAAGAAACUGCUGUGAGUGGGUAAUUGGAGAGUCGAGUGUGGUUCUGGCCUUCGGGUACUGUGUGACUUCAGGCCAUCAACUACAGAGGUUAACAUAACAAUAAAGCUUUUACUUGUGUUGCUUUUCUCGACAGUGGAGUUUUGUUGUCCCAGUUCACGUUUUGGUGGCAUGAUAGACAUGGAAUUUGUCGAGGACGUGACUAAUAUUUCUAAUGUGUCUGGGAUUACUACCCAUUCUUUGCAACUGUA